GUCAAUAUGUCCGAGUGGUUAAGGAGAUAGACUUGAAAUCUAUUGGGCUUUGCCUGCGCAGGUUCGAAUCCUGCUGUUAACG
Molecule: transfer RNA, 82 nt
Filed under: Ipomoea nil (Japanese morning glory)
Lineage: Eukaryota; Viridiplantae; Streptophyta; Magnoliopsida; Solanales; Convolvulaceae
Rfam family: tRNA
About the family: Transfer RNA (tRNA) molecules are approximately 80 nucleotides in length.
Source: Rfam by way of RNAcentral